RNAcentral lists this ribosomal RNA (229 nucleotides) under uncultured Sphingomonadales bacterium. RNAcentral's name for it is "partial 16S ribosomal RNA". It matches the Rfam family "Bacterial small subunit ribosomal RNA", at positions 87 to 334 of the family's 1533-position model. Lineage: Bacteria; Pseudomonadati; Pseudomonadota; Alphaproteobacteria; Sphingomonadales. The record is from RNAcentral.
CGGCCUUAGUGGCGCACGGGUGCGUAACGCGUGGGAAUCUGCCCCUCGGUUCGGAUAACAGUUGGAAACGACUGCUAAUACCGGAUGAUGACGUAAGUCCAAAGAUUUAUCGCCGAGGGAUGAGCCCGCGUAGGAUUAGCUAGUUGGUGUGGUAAAGGCGCACCAAGGCGACGAUCCUUAGCUGGUCUGAGAGGAUGAUCAGCCACACUGGGACUGAGACACGGCCCAG